Molecule: long non-coding RNA, 246 nt
Filed under: Brachypodium distachyon (stiff brome)
Lineage: Eukaryota; Viridiplantae; Streptophyta; Magnoliopsida; Poales; Poaceae
Description: long non-coding RNA (BDIS_LNC000462)
Source: RNAcentral
UGCACCCAAGCGAAAGGCUAUAUCGAUCAUCUAUAUCCAAGAUAUAGAUGCAUGAAUCCACAGAAAUUCCAGAGCUACUCUCACCGCCUGCUUAACAAUUUUUGGUUUAUUAGGUAGAGACGUACUGACGUCCACAAGAAGCUGUAAUCUGUACUGGGGGGAUGAACUCUCUAAAUGCACCUGAGAAAAAGACGAUAGCAUCUAUCUCUAGCAUUUGCUGUGAAAAAAUAAUAUAAAAAACACACC